ACUCCUACGGGAGGCAGCAGUGGGGAAUAUUGGACAAUGGGCGCAAGCCUGAUCCAGCCAUGCCGCGUGAGUGAUGAAGGCCCUAGGGUUGUAAAGCUCUUUCACCGGUGAAGAUAAUGACGGUAACCGGAGAAGAAGCCCCGGCUAACUUCGUGCCAGCAGCCGCGGUAAUACGAAGGGGGCUAGCGUUGUUCGGAUUUACUGGGCGUAAAGCGCACGUAGGCGGACUAUCAAGUCAGGGGUGAAAUCCCGGGGCUCAACCCCGGAACUGCCUUUGAUACUGGUAGUCUUGAGUUCGAGAGAGGUGAGUGGAAUUCCGAGUGUAGAGGUGAAAUUCGUAGAUAUUCGGAGGAACACCAGUGGCGAAGGCGGCUCACUGGCUCGAUACUGACGCUGAGGUGCGAAAGCGUGGGGAGCAAACAGGAUUAGAAACCCUUGUAGUCCC
RNAcentral lists this ribosomal RNA (445 nucleotides) under uncultured organism. RNAcentral's name for it is "partial 16S ribosomal RNA". It matches the Rfam family "Bacterial small subunit ribosomal RNA", at positions 335 to 797 of the family's 1533-position model. The record is from RNAcentral.